GCCUACGGGGGGCAGCAGUAGGGAAUAUUGCUCAAUGGGGGAACCCUGAAGCAGCAACGCCGCGUGGAGGAUGAAGGUUUUCGGAUUGUAAACUCCUUUUGUUAGAGAAGAUAAUGACGGUAUCUAACGAAUAAGCACCGGCUAACUCCGUGCCAGCAGCCGCGGUAAUACGGAGGGCGCAAGCGUUACUCGGAAUCACUGGGCGUAAAGAGCGCGUAGGCGGGAUAGCAAGUCAGAUGUGAAAUCCUAUGGCUUAACCAUAGAACUGCAUUUGAAACUGUUAUUCUAGAGUAUGGGAGAGGUAG
RNAcentral lists this ribosomal RNA (305 nucleotides) under uncultured bacterium. RNAcentral's name for it is "bacterial SSU rRNA". It matches the Rfam family "Bacterial small subunit ribosomal RNA", at positions 337 to 660 of the family's 1533-position model. The record is from RNAcentral.